GAAACAGUAGUUUAAUCUGGAAAAGCACUCCGAACCCAGGAGGGUUGCAGGUUCGAAUCCUGCCUGUUUCU
Molecule: non-coding RNA, 71 nt
Organism: Chryseobacterium gambrini
Lineage: Bacteria; Pseudomonadati; Bacteroidota; Flavobacteriia; Flavobacteriales; Weeksellaceae
Source: Rfam